Molecule: long non-coding RNA, 411 nt
Organism: Phacochoerus africanus (Common warthog)
Lineage: Eukaryota; Metazoa; Chordata; Mammalia; Artiodactyla; Suidae
Exons: 3
Source: RefSeq, a predicted model, not a curated record
GGUUGCGGAGGCGUACCCCGGGGUCACGUCCUCCCUUGCCUGGGGGGAAGCGGGCCCUGCCGGGUGGCGCCCUCGGUUCGUCCUCGCUAGCUCCCCGGGGCCAGCCGCCUUUUCGCCGGGUCCCCGCACACCUGCCGACCUGAAGAGAUUCUUGUGACUGUCCCAGCUACACUCAAGGGAAGGAAGGGUGGGAAGACCAGAGAACAGAAAUCUUGGAACCAUCUUAGAAUUCUACCUACCUCGGAACUUCAUGCCAGGAGAAUAUGAAACUAUCCGAAUCCAGGACAAGAAGACACAGCUCACUGUUCUAAAGGAAGCCAGCUGUCAUGUUAUGAGCCACCCUGUGGAGAGGCCUACGUGGUGAGGAACCCAUGUCUCCAGCCAACAGCCAGGAGGGAGCUGAGGCUGCCA